Dioscorea cayenensis subsp. rotundata (Guinea yam) is the source of this 107-nucleotide small nucleolar RNA. NCBI's taxonomy places the organism in Eukaryota, Viridiplantae, Streptophyta, Magnoliopsida, Dioscoreales, Dioscoreaceae. The record is from RefSeq and is a predicted model, not a curated record.
AACCCAUGUUGGGGACAUUUCCAUAGGAGAUCCUUGAAUCUUUCCCAUGUCUCAAAAAGUGACUCCAAUUCCAUUUGCAUAAAGGAAGAUAUCUCAUUCUUAAGCUU